AGCCGCGGUAAUACGGAGGGUGCAAGCGUUAAUCGGAAUUACUGGGCGUAAAGCGCACGUAGGCGGUUUUGUAAGCCAGCCGUGAAAUCCCCGGGCUCAACCUGGGAAUUGCGGUUGGAACUGCAAGGCUAGAGUAUGGUAGAGGGGUGUGGAAUUCCAGGUGUAGCGGUGAAAUGCGUAGAUAUCUGGAGGAACAUCAGUGGCGAAGGCGACACCCUGGACCAAUACUGACGCUGAGGUGCGAAAGCGUGGGGAGCAAACA
This 262-nucleotide ribosomal RNA is filed under the name uncultured bacterium. RNAcentral's name for it is "partial 16S ribosomal RNA". It matches the Rfam family "Bacterial small subunit ribosomal RNA", at positions 513 to 774 of the family's 1533-position model. The record is from RNAcentral.